GUGCUUGCUUUGGCAGCAUAUAUACUAAAAUUGGAAUGAUACAGAGAAGAUUAGCAUGGCCCCCACGCAAGGAUGACACCCAAAUUUGCGAACUGUUUUAUGUUUUU
Small nuclear RNA from Saimiri boliviensis boliviensis (Bolivian squirrel monkey), 107 nucleotides. The record is from Ensembl. Lineage: Eukaryota; Metazoa; Chordata; Mammalia; Primates; Cebidae.